UGCCAGCCGCCGCGGUAAUACGGAGGGUGCAAGCGUUAUCCGGAAUCACUGGGUUUAAAGGGUGCGUAGGCGGCGUUAUAAGUCAGAGGUGAAAGCCUACCGCUUAACGGUAGAACUGCCUUUGAUACUGUAGUGCUUGAAUCAGGUUGAGGUUAGCGGAAUGAGUCAUGUAGCGGUGAAAUGCAUAGAUAUGACUUAGAACACCAAUUGCGAAGGCAGCUGGCUAGACCUGUGUUGACGCUGAGGCACGAAAGCGUGGGGAGCGAACAGGAUUAGAUA
RNAcentral lists this ribosomal RNA (279 nucleotides) under uncultured bacterium. Its description in RNAcentral is "partial 16S ribosomal RNA". It matches the Rfam family "Bacterial small subunit ribosomal RNA", at positions 506 to 784 of the family's 1533-position model. The record is from RNAcentral.